CUAUCGUCUUCUCUUCUGCAGAGACGUAGACCCUAAUCUCGCGAUAUCGACUGCGAGACCUUUCCUCUUCCUUACCUUUGUUCUUCCUCCUUUUCACGAUCAAUCAAUCCUCUCCCUACACCUUAUUGCUCUUUAAUCAUGGAGUUAACGGAGUCUCUUCGGUUACUCCCUCUGAAUUCUAGGAUCCUUUAUAAAUAGCUCCUUUGGGUUUUUAUUUUUCACCCAACAAUUGUGCUAUCCUCUCGAGUGAAGGAAGGAGGAGAAAAUGAUGAUGCAUAGAUGGAGAAGAUCAAGAGAGUUUAUACGAUCGGCAUGUAAAUCACUAAGCAGUCUCCGACAAAAAAACACAACUCAAUGUCUCCUUCUGUUUCAGGCUCUGUGAAUCGUUACGAGUCAAAAGGAAAGACCUUUGAGUAAAAUGCUUGGAAUCAUCAUCAUCAUCAUCCAUGUCUUGGUAGAAACCAGAAGAAGAGGAAGGAGACGUGAGCGAAGGAGGAGGAGGAGGAGACUUCCGGAGCCACCGGAAGAAGCGAAGCUCUUCGUUGGAAACUUGGCUUAUGACGUUGAGAGCCAGGCCUUGGCUAUGCUCUUUGAGCAAGCCGGUACUGUUCAUCAUGCAUUGCUUAAGUUCAUGUAUGUUCUGUGCAUUGCAAUUUGCAUCCUUUGUGAGUCUAAUGGAUAUCUUGACUUUUAAAUGUUUGGAGCAUCUCUGGUUCUGAUCAAGUUAUUUGCAGUGUUCAGAAUCGUGUGGAUUGAACUGAUAUAUGUCGACUUACAGAACAAGAUGGAAUUAUCAUACUUGAGUAUAUUUAUAUAGUUGAUGUUAUUCUUACAGUUGUUUAGUGAAAGAGAUAGCGUUUGCUAAUACUAACUGGUUCUUCGAAUUCUCCUGGUUGAAGGUUAUAUACAACAGGGAAACCAACCAGAGUCGUGGGUUUGGUUUUGUGACAAUGAAACAGCUGUUGAGAAGUUCAAUCGUUAUGUAAGUUCAUAUAUGUGUAUCAAUCAUUUCUGAACUAUUGGCAUGUAUUGGUGGAGGGAUGUUGUUCCUUUGGUCCUGGCUCAGAAGGAUCUGAACGGACGGCUUUUGACAGUAACAAGGCAGCUCCCAAAGGAUCACGUCCCGAACGCCAACCACGGGUAUACGAAGCUGCAUUCAUAGUGUACGAAGGUAACUUCUGGUGGUAAUUUUUUUUUUUUUGGUUCUCUUCUUUGAAGCAAAGCUUGGAGUAGAGAAACACAAUCUCUGUGUUGUUAAUAAUACUACGAACAUCUUAUAAAGUGUUGUUAUGUUCGGUCCUUCUGACAUAGGUUGAAGUAAAGAUUCAAGUGUGAUGUAUAUUGAGUUUCAUUGUGCAUUUUUACUUGUAAUUAAUUUUGAACU
Raphanus sativus (radish) is the source of this 1384-nucleotide RNA transcript. It is a transcript of the gene named 31 kDa ribonucleoprotein, chloroplastic-like, with no coding region annotated. Lineage: Eukaryota; Viridiplantae; Streptophyta; Magnoliopsida; Brassicales; Brassicaceae. The record is from RefSeq and is a predicted model, not a curated record. The transcript has 3 exons.